UCGGGAAUUUUGGGCAAUGGGCGAAAGCCUGACCCAGCAACGCCGCGUGAAGGAUGAAGUUUUUCGGAAUGUAAACUUCACAAGAACGGGAAGAAUAAGUGGGGGACAAUACCCCCCAUGAUGACGGUACCGUUUGUAAGCUCCGGCUAACUCCGUGCCAGCAGCCGCGGUAAUACGGGGGGAGCAAGCGUUGUUCGGAUUUACUGGGCGUAAAGGGCGCGUAGGCGGCGCAACAAGUCACUUGUGAAAUCUCCGGGCUUAACUCGGAGCGGUCAAGUGAUACUGUCGUGCUAGAGUGCAGAAGGGGCAACUGGAAUUCUCGGUGUAGCGGUGAAAUGCGUAGAUAUCGAGAGGAACACCUGCGGCGAAGGCGGGUUGCUGGGCUGACACUGACGCUGAUGCGCGAAAGCCAGGGGAGCGAACGG
RNAcentral lists this ribosomal RNA (425 nucleotides) under uncultured bacterium. RNAcentral describes it as "bacterial SSU rRNA". It matches the Rfam family "Bacterial small subunit ribosomal RNA", at positions 355 to 775 of the family's 1533-position model. The record is from RNAcentral.